CUGCAGCCAAUUAAGCCCACUGAGUUCCUUUCCUCAUGGGGGCCCAGUGUGCAAUGGCUGUAAACAGCAGCUUCCCUGGUAGUGAUGCAGCCUGUUUGUUGUAUGGGUUGCUCUAAGGGACCUUGGAGACAGUC
This is a small nucleolar RNA of Macaca fascicularis (crab-eating macaque), 134 nucleotides long. Its record names the gene SNORA70. It matches the Rfam family "Small nucleolar RNA SNORA70". Rfam says of the family: snoRNA U70 seems to be exclusive to mammals and is a member of the H/ACA class of snoRNA which contain H (ANANNA) and ACA box motifs. H/ACA box snoRNAs are involved in the conversion of uridines to pseudouridines (5-ribosyluracil) a constituent of structural RNAs (transfer, ribosomal, small nuclear, and small nucleolar). The record is from Ensembl. Lineage: Eukaryota; Metazoa; Chordata; Mammalia; Primates; Cercopithecidae.